Molecule: long non-coding RNA, 349 nt
Filed under: Capsicum annuum
Lineage: Eukaryota; Viridiplantae; Streptophyta; Magnoliopsida; Solanales; Solanaceae
Description: long non-coding RNA (CANN_LNC016000)
Source: RNAcentral
UAGUGAACCGUAAGCAAAACACAAGAUUAAAUACUCAACAACAACAAUAACUAUUAGCGCAAUUUCACAAGUGAAGUUUGAGGAGGAUAGAAUAUGCACAUAUCUUAUCCCUAUUUUUGUGGCAUAAUUGAAUAGGUAGACUGUUUAUGAAUUAUGAUAGACCCAUCAGCUCAAAAGAAUGAUAGAACGUAAUAUAUAACAAUAGUCAAAAUAGCAAAAUAAUCAAAGUAACAAGUAGUAGUAAAAUUGGGGUAAAGGGGUUAAAUACAUUUUCAACCAAAAAUUUUGGAUUUGACAGUAUUGAUUGAAGUUUAUAUAUCAACCACUCCAUCCUCGAGAUUAGAGUGGG